Molecule: ribosomal RNA, 371 nt
Filed under: uncultured organism
Description: bacterial SSU rRNA
Rfam family: Bacterial small subunit ribosomal RNA
Source: RNAcentral
CGAAGGGGGCUAGCGUUGUUCGGAAUCACUGGGCGUAAAGCGCACGCAGGCGGAUCGUUAAGUCAGGGGUGAAAUCCCGAGGCUCAACCUCGGAACUGCCUUUGAUACUGGCGAUCUUUGAGUCCGGGAGAGGUGAGUGGAACUCCGAGUGUAGAGGUGAAAUUCGUAGAUAUUCGGAAGAACACCAGUGGCGAAGGCGGCUCACUGGCCCGGUACUGACGCUCAUGUGCGAAAGCGUGGGGAGCAUACAGGAUUAGAUACCCUGGUAGUCCACGCCGUAAACGAUGAAUGCUAGCCGUCGGUGAGCUUGCUCUUCGGUGGCGCAGCUAACGCAAUAAGCAUUCCGCCUGGGGAGUACGGUCGCAAGACUA